Molecule: ribosomal RNA, 515 nt
Filed under: uncultured bacterium
Lineage: Bacteria
Description: partial 16S ribosomal RNA
Rfam family: Bacterial small subunit ribosomal RNA
Source: RNAcentral
GAUGAACGCUGGCGGCACGCCUAACACAUGCAAGUCGAGCGAAUGGAUUAAGAGCUUGCUCUUAUGAAGUUAGCGGCGGACGGGUGAGUAACACGUGGGUAACCUGCCCAUAAGACUGGGAUAACUCCGGGAAACCGGGGCUAAUACCGGAUAACAUUUUGAACCGCAUGGUUCGAAAUUGAAAGGCGGCUUCGGCUGUCACUUAUGGAUGGACCCGCGUCGCAUUAGCUAGUUGGUGAGGUAACGGCUCACCAAGGCAACGAUGCGUAGCCGACCUGAGAGGUGUGUAGGCCACACUGGGACCUAGGCACAGCCCGGACUGCUACGGGAGGCAGCAGUAGGGGAUCUUCCGCAAUGGACGAAAGUCUGACGGAGCAGCGCCGCGUGAGUGAUGAAGGCUUUCGGGUCGUAAAACUCUGUUGUUAGGGAAGAACAAGUGCUAGUUGAAUAAGCUGGCACCUUGACGGUACCUAACCAGAAAGCCACGGCUAACUACGUGCCAGCCGCCGCAGUAA